RNAcentral lists this ribosomal RNA (458 nucleotides) under Candidatus Phytoplasma cynodontis. RNAcentral's name for it is "bacterial SSU rRNA". It matches the Rfam family "Bacterial small subunit ribosomal RNA", at positions 329 to 785 of the family's 1533-position model. Lineage: Bacteria; Bacillati; Mycoplasmatota; Mollicutes; Acholeplasmatales; Acholeplasmataceae. The record is from RNAcentral.
GCCCAAACUCCUACGGGAGGCAGCAGUAGGGAAUUUUCGGCAAUGGAGGAAACUCUGACCGAGCAACGCCGCGUGAACGAUGAAGUAUUUCGGUAUGUAAAGUUCUUUUAUUGAAAGAAGAAAAAAUAGUGGAAAAACUAUCUUGACGAUAUUCAAUGAAUAAGCCCCGGCAAACUAUGUGCCAGCAGCCGCGGUAAUACAUAGGGGGCGAGCGUUAUCCGGAAUUAUUGGGCGUAAAGGGUGCGUAGGCGGUUUGGUAAGUCUAUAGUUUAAUUUCAGUGCUUAACACUGUUCUGCUAUAGAAACUAUCAGACUAGAGUGAGAUAGAGGCAAGUGGAAUUCCAUGUGUAGCGGUAAAAUGCGUAAAUAUAUGGAGGAACACCAGAGGCGUAGGCGGCUUGCUGGGUCUUUACUGACGCUGAGGCACGAAAGCGUGGGGAGCAAACAGGAUUAGAUAC